GCUGGGGGAAGGCUGGGCUGGGUAUCAAGGAGGAGAGGUGCAGAAGGAUGUGAACUACCCAGGGGAGAAGAAGUUCCGUUCACAGUGUGAGGCUUUCGGGUGCUGGCAAGCACGCAGAUGGCGUCCUGUUGCUGUAGCAUGCCCCGGUGCCCAGUGGAGACCCACAGUCUCAUCAGCCUCCCCACCUGAAGCAGAGGAGCAGGAGAGACUACGGGGAAUCCCAUGGGGAGUGUGGUAGAACCUUCUGGAAUGCUGCUGGAAGAUGUCUGAGUUUGGGGCUCUGUCUGAAGAGGACCUGGCUUAGUCUACAAUGUCAUUUGCUCACUUUCGCCCCCUGCAGUACGGAUACUGUAGCGCACUUAAUCACCUUCCUUGGCAUUGGCGGCGAACUCCUAUGACCUAUGUUGAGUUGAACAUGAGGAUGUAAAACAGGCAACCAGGAAGCUCUGCACUUAUUAAUACUAAAUAAGUCUUAUCUUCAGAAAUGUUCACCUGCAGUGAGCAGAGAGAUACCUCUUUAUGAAAUAUGAAAUCCACCCAAAUUUAUUAAAAACCUCCUGUGUAGUGG
Long non-coding RNA from Microtus oregoni (creeping vole), 568 nucleotides. RefSeq lists it as uncharacterized. Lineage: Eukaryota; Metazoa; Chordata; Mammalia; Rodentia; Cricetidae. The record is from RefSeq and is a predicted model, not a curated record. The transcript is spliced from 3 exons.